Molecule: ribosomal RNA, 443 nt
Filed under: uncultured bacterium
Lineage: Bacteria
Description: partial 16S ribosomal RNA
Rfam family: Bacterial small subunit ribosomal RNA
Source: RNAcentral
CCUACGGGGGGCUGCAGUGGGGAAUAUUGGGCAAUGGGCGAAAGCCUGACCCAGCAACGCCGCGUGAAGGAAGAAGGCCUUCGGGUCGUAAACUUCUUUUCUCAGGGACGAAGAAAGUGACGGUACCUGAGGAAUAAGCCACGGCUCACUACGUGCCAGCAGCCGCGGUAAUACGUAGGUGGCAAGCGUUCUCCGGUUUUAUUUGGGGUAAAGGGCGUGUAGGCGGGAGAGCAAGUCCGAAGUGGAAACUCAGGGCUCAACCCUGAGCCUGCAUUUGAAACUGUGUUUCUUGAGUGCUGGAGAGGCAAUCGGAAUUCCGUGUGUAGCGGUGAAAUGCGUAGAUAUACGGAGGAACACCAGUGGCGAAGGCGGAUUGCUGGACAGUAACUGACGCUGAGGCGCGAAAGCGUGGGGAGCAAACAGGAUUAGAUACCCGAGUAGUC